This 2375-nucleotide long non-coding RNA is filed under the name Olea europaea subsp. europaea. The record is from RNAcentral. Lineage: Eukaryota; Viridiplantae; Streptophyta; Magnoliopsida; Lamiales; Oleaceae.
GUCGUACAGCAUGUAUAAAUAGAGCUUAGACUAUAACUAACAGAAUAUGCCAGCUCAUUAACAAUAGUUAUAAACUAAUUAACUGAUAUUCAUAUACUCCACCCUCAAGGUGGACGAUGCAAAUCAAUAACAGCCAUCUUGGAUAGUAGAGGAAACAAAAUGUUAGCAGGUAAAGCUUUGGUAAAAACAUCUGCUAACAGAUUUUGGGUGCGAACAAGCAAAAGUUUAAUGGAGCCUUCAAUAACUUUAUCACGGAUGAAAUGGCAAUCAAUCUCGAUGUGUUUCCUUUCAUGAAAGAUAGGAUUCUUAGCUAUGUGAAUUGCAGCUUGGUUAUCACAAAAAAUUAGUGCCGGAGCUGGUGAAGAAAUCUGGAAAUCGCGAAGCAAUUGAUGGAUCCAAGUAAUUUCACUCGCUGUGGAAGCCAAUGCUUGGUACUCUACUUCCGCAGAUGAUCUAGACAGUGUUAGCUGCUUCUUUGCCUUCCAAGAGAUCAAGGAGUCCCCCAGGAACACACAAAAGCCUGUAACUAAUUUUCUUGAAUCUAAGCAAGCUCCACAGUCAGCAUGAAGUUGCAGGGAAGAAGAAGCAGAGAAUGGUAAUCCUUGACCUGGAGCAGCCUUAAGAUACCUUGAGAGAUGAUGGACAGCAUCAAGGUGUGGCUGGCGAGGCUGAGAAACAAAUUGACUGAGCUUAUGAACUGCAGAGGUUAUGUCUGGUCGAGAAAUAGUCAAGUAAAGCAGGCGUCCAACAAGUCUUCUGUACUGGGAUGCAUCAUCAAUUAAUUCACCUUCAAAUAAACAAAGGUGAGCCUUUGGAUUCAUUGGUAAGUUGGCUGGUUUACAGCCUAGGAAACCAGCAUCUUCCAGAAGCUGCAGUGUGUAAUUUCGUUGACAGAGGAAAUUCCCAUUAUGAGACCUGGCUAUUUCAAGACCAAGGAAGUAUUUCAACACUCCAAGGUCCUUGAGUUUAAAAUGGCUGUGUAAAAAUGUCUUCAAAGAGUCAAUCAUACGGAUGUUUGGACCUGUGAUGAUGACAUCAUCAACGUAUACCAACAAGGCGACAAAUGUGUUCCCAGAACCUUUAGUAAACAAAUAGUAAUCUGACUUUGAUUGCUGAAAACCAUGAAGAAUAAGAACCUGGGAAAACUUAGAAGACCAUUGUCAAGAUGCCUGUCUAAGGCUAUAAAUGAACUUGUUUGCAAACUAGUUGUCCUCCCUUUGCAAGAUCCUUAUGUGUGUUAGAAUAACCCAAAGGCAAAUCCAUAUAUAUUUCUUCAAAAAGAUCUCCAUUAAGGAAUGCGUUGUUGACAUGGACAAGAUUCCAUUUAUGGAUAGCAGCAAUAGCAAGAAGCAUUUUGACAGUCACAAGUUUGGCAACAGGAGAGAAUGUUUCAAUAAAAUCCAAGCCUUCUUGCUGGGUAUAGCCCUUGGCCACCAAACAAGCCUUGUAUCUAUCUAUACUUCCAUCAGGCUUAUACUUGAUUUUAUAUACCCACUUGCAACCAAUGGAGUGUUUGCCCUAAGGUAGAGUAGUCACUGACCAAGUAUUGUUUUGUUCCAUUGCAGCUAAUUCAGAUGACGUAGCCUCUUUCCAAUGCUGAAAUUGCAUAGCUUGGUGGUAAAAUUGAGGCUCAAAAUUGGAGGUAACAUUAAGGAGGUAAUUUCUAUGUGAAGAGGAAAAAGCAGCAUAGGAAAUGAACUUGGAUAAGGGGUAUUUUAAGUAAAGUUUUGAUGGAGGUGUAUUUUUCAUGAGAUUACAGUGGAAUUCUCGAAGAUAGGAAGGGAUUUUACUGACUCUAGUUGAUCUUCUAGGAUGAAAGGGUGAAGGCUGAGAAGAGUCUGGUACUUGUUCCUCAAUGGAAUUUGGAGUUGAGGGUGAAGUAGAAGGAAUGAUGGGCAGGCCAUUAUCAUUGUCAUCCAAAGGGAGGUUGGAAGUUGUGGUUGGAUUUGAGUGAUAGGACAUUGAAUUAGAGGUAAUGUGAGGUAAAACAAUGUCAGGAAAUGGAUCGAUGAGAUCAGUUGUGUGAGUUAUGGAAUGGAAAGGAAAGUGGUUUUCAUGGAACACAACUUCUCCGGAGACAAAAAAUGAUUUUGAUGAGAUGUUAUACAAUUUAUAGCAUUUUAUGCCUGGAGGAUAUCCCAUGAAAACACAUGUUGUGGCUCGGAAAUAGAAUUUAUUUCUAUGAGAUGGUAGUGUUGAGGCAAAACAAAGACACCCAAACACUUUAAGGAAGCUGUAAUCUAUUGGAGUACCAUACAAAAGGGAAUAAGGAGUGUUAUUUUUCAAAAUUGGUGAAGGAGUUCUGUUGAUAAAAAUUGUGGCUCUAAGUACACAAUCUCCCCAGAAUUGGAUUGGAAUUCGUGACUGGAAAAACA